AUUUUUUUAGUUUUCUUUUUUUAGUUUUUAUUUUUUCUCUGUUUUGGUUUUUGUUUGCUUUCUUAAAAAAUAUAUAAAAAAUGCACGCUUUUUCCUUUGGUUUUUGAGUUACAAUUAUGAGUAUUUUUCUUAGUUCUCUUGACUAAAGUCUUGUGGUGUGAUGUGAAAAAUUUGUUGUGCAUUUUUAGUAUGAUAGGUAUGACUAAACUCUAAAUUGUAUAUAAUUAUGAGUAUUUUUCUUAGUUCUCUUGACUAAAGUCUUGUGGUGUGAUGUGAAAAAUUUGUUGUGCAUUUUUAGUAUGAUAGGUAUGACUAAACUCUAAAUUGUAUAUCUUUAGCAGUAGAUCAUGGACCCUAGUGAGCUUUGAGCCUUAUAUGGAUAACAUUCAAAAAUCCAUCUCUUUCUUUCUUGUGUGAUUCACUCAUGUCUAUUAGUCUCUAGAACUUGAAUUGACUCUUCUUGAUGUUGUUGUUUACUUGUGCACACU
This 488-nucleotide long non-coding RNA is filed under the name Lathyrus oleraceus (garden pea). Its description in RNAcentral is "Pisum sativum (pea) long non-coding RNA (PSAT_LNC011680)". The record is from RNAcentral. Lineage: Eukaryota; Viridiplantae; Streptophyta; Magnoliopsida; Fabales; Fabaceae.